Molecule: ribosomal RNA, 548 nt
Filed under: uncultured Glomeromycotina
Lineage: Eukaryota; Fungi; Glomeromycota
Description: SSU rRNA
Rfam family: Eukaryotic small subunit ribosomal RNA
Source: RNAcentral
UUGGAGGGCAAGUCUGGUGCCAGCAGCCGCGGUAAUUCCAGCUCCAAUAGCGUAUAUUAAAGUUGUUGCAGUUAAAAAGCUCGUAGUUGAAUUUCGAGAUCAAAUUGUUGGUCGUGCCUUGGUACGUACUGGCAUUAUUGAUUUCUCCCUUCUGAAGAACCACGAUGUCAUUAAUUUGGUGUCAUGGGGAAUCAGGACUGUUACUUUGAAAAAAUUAGAGUGCUUAAAGCAGGCUUACGCUUGAAUACAUUAGCAUGGAAUAAUGAAAUAGGACGUUUGAUUCUAUUUUGUUGGUUUCUAGGAUCGACGUAAUGAUUAAUAGGGAUAGUUGGGGGCAUUAGUAUUCAAUUGUCAGAGGUGAAAUUCUUGGAUUUAUUGAAGACUAACUACUGCGAAAGCAUUUGCCAAGGAUGUUUUCAUUGAUCAAGAACGAAAGUUAGGGGAUCGAAGACGAUCAGAUACCGUCGUAGUCUUAACCAUAAACUAUGCCGACUAGGGAUCGGAUGAUGUUAAUUUUUUAAUGACUCAUUCGGCGCCUUACGGGAAAC